UACGUAGGGGGCAAGCGUUGUCCGGAAUCAUUGGGCGUAAAGCGCGUGUAGGCGGUUCGAUAAGUCUGCUGUGAAAGUCCAGGGCUCAACCCUGGAAAGCCGGUGGAUACUGUCGGACUAGAGUGCGGAAAAGGCGAGUGGAAUUCCCGGUGUAGCGGUGAAAUGCGCAGAUAUCGGGAGGAACACCAAUUGCGAAGGCAGCUCGCUGGGACGUUACUGACGCUGAGACGCGAAAGCGUGGGGAGCAAACAGG
This 253-nucleotide ribosomal RNA is filed under the name uncultured bacterium. Its description in RNAcentral is "partial 16S ribosomal RNA". It matches the Rfam family "Bacterial small subunit ribosomal RNA", at positions 524 to 776 of the family's 1533-position model. The record is from RNAcentral.